RNAcentral lists this transfer RNA (85 nucleotides) under pig gut metagenome. It matches the Rfam family "tRNA". Rfam says of the family: Transfer RNA (tRNA) molecules are approximately 80 nucleotides in length. Their secondary structure includes four short double-helical elements and three loops (D, anti-codon, and T loops). Further hydrogen bonds mediate the characteristic L-shaped molecular structure. tRNAs have two regions of fundamental functional importance: the anti-codon, which is responsible for specific mRNA codon recognition, and the 3' end, to which the tRNAs corresponding amino acid is attached (by aminoacyl-tRNA synthetases). tRNAs cope with the degeneracy of the genetic code in two manners: having more than one tRNA (with a specific anti-codon) for a particular amino acid; and 'wobble' base-pairing, i.e. permitting non-standard base-pairing at the 3rd anti-codon position. The record is from RNAcentral.
GAGGUGUGGCUGAGUGGUCGAUAGCGGCGGUCUUGAAAACCGUUGUACUCGUGAGGGUACCGGGGGUUCGAAUCCCUCUGCCUCC